Molecule: ribosomal RNA, 252 nt
Filed under: uncultured Bacteroidales bacterium
Lineage: Bacteria; Pseudomonadati; Bacteroidota; Bacteroidia; Bacteroidales
Description: partial 16S ribosomal RNA
Rfam family: Bacterial small subunit ribosomal RNA
Source: RNAcentral
UACGUAGGUGGCAAGCGUUGUCCGGAUUUACUGGGUGUAAAGGGCGUGCAGCCGGGCUGACAAGUCAGCGGUCAAAGCCCGGGGCUCAACCCCGGCCCGCCGUUGAAACUGGCAGUCUCGAGUUGGAGAGAAGUAUGCGGAAUGCGCGGUGUAGCGGUGAAAUGCAUAGAUAUCGCGCAGAACUCCGAUUGCGAAGGCAGCAUGCCGGCUCCACACUGACGCUGAGGCACGAAAGCGUGGGUAUCGAACAGG